UCAUAUGCUUGUCUCAAAGCUUAAGCCAUGCAAGUGUAAGUUCACGCCACGCUUUAGAACGGGCGAAACCGCGAAUGGCUCAGGAACCGGACCUAAUCCUCGGGACCGUAAUCCUCCUCGGAGGCGAUGGAUAACUGUGGCAAUUCUAGAGCUAAUACAUGUGACACAAGCCGCGAUCGGUCGUCGCGUCGUGGUCGCCUCGCCUCGCGCGCUGGCACCCGCGGCGGCCGUCUUGGGUCGCGGCGCUACAUAUUAGACUGAGACCGAUGCGCGAUUCCCGGCCUCCCGUGCCGUUCGUUCCCUCGCGGUUCGUUCGGUCGGGACCMAAGGUCGGCGCGCUCCGCUUUGGUGACUCUGGAUAACUCACUGGUCGAUCGCACGGGCUUCCACGCCCGGCGACGGGUCCCCCGAGGGUCCGCCCUAUCAACUGUCGACGGUCGGUUAAGUGCCUACCGUGGUUACUACGGGUAACGGGGAAUCGGGGUUCGAUUCCGGAGAGGGAGCAUGCGAAACGGCUACCACAUCCAAGGAAGGCAGCAGGCGCGCAAAUUACCCACUCCCGGCACGGGGAGGUAGUGACGAAAAAUAACGACGCGGGACUCUGUCGAGGCCCCGCGAUCGGAAUGAGUACACUUCAAAUCCGUUAACGAGGACCAACCGGAGGGCAAGUCUGGUGCCAGCAGCCGCGGUAAUUCCAGCUCCGGUAGCGUAUAUUAAAGUUGUUGCGGUUAAAAAGCUCGUAGUCCGAACUCGGGUUCGUGGUCGCUCGCGCGGCCCCGGGGCGGCGGCGCCAUCGUCCAUCGUUGACUUUGGUCGUCCGUUCGCAUUCCCGGCCCUUUCCGCCGGUGUCGACCGCUGCAUGUCGGGKUGGGUGGCAGUCGGUGUGSGUYGCGUUCGCGCUUGUGCGCCGGCCACGCGCCCUCGCCGUCGGCGGUCUCUCCUCCAAGGGUGCUCUUAACCGAGUGUCCGCGGCGGCCGGUACGUUCACUUUGAAAAAAUUAGAGUGCUCAGAGCGGGCUGUUCAAGCUUGCAUACGAUAAGCAUGGAAUGAUGGAAGAGGGCCUCGUCUACGUCUGUCGGUCUCCGUCUACGGCGAGGCAAUGAUCGAAGGGAGCGGUCGGGGCCACUCGUAUUGCGACGUUAGAGGUGAAAUUCUUGGAUCGUCGCAAGACGAACUGCAGCGAUGGCGUGUGGCAAGCACGUUUUCCUCGAUCAAGAGCGAAAGUCGGAGGUUCGAAGACGAUCAGAUACCGUCGUAGUUCCGACCGUAAACGAUGCCGACCGGCGAUCCGCCGGCGUUCGCUUCCAUGACCCGGCGGGUAGCCUGCGGGAAACCAGAGUUCGGUUCCGGGGGGAGUAUGGUUGCAAAGCUGAAACUUAAAGGAAUUGACGGAAGGGCACCACCAGGAGUGGAGCCUGCGGCUUAAUUUGACUCAACACGGGAAAACUCACCCGGUCCGGACACCGGUAGGAUUGACAGAUCGAUAGCUCUUUCUCGAUUCGGUGGGUGGUGGUGCAUGGCCGUUCUUAGUUGGUGGAGCGAUCCGUCUGGUUGAUUCCGAUAACGAACGAGACUCCGGCCUGCUAACUAGUGCGCCGAUGUGAGUGCGUCGCYUUCGGGCGUCGUGUGCGGGCCUCCGUGGGCCGGCURUCCUUAACCGGCGGUCGCGCCCUCGGGUCCGGGUCGGUUUCUCACGCACUUCUUAGAGGGACGGGUGGCAGAAAGCCACACGAGGCGGAGCGAUAACAGGUCUGUGAUGCCCUUAGAUGUCCGGGGCCGCACGCGCGCUACACUGGAGGUAUCAGCGGGGACUUCGCCCCGGCCCGAGAGGGUCGGGAAACCUCUCAACCACCUCCCGUGAUAGGGAUCGGGGCCUGUAACUAACCCCGUGAACGAGGAAUUCCCGGUAGGCGCGGGUCAACAGCCCGCGUCGAUCACGUCCCUGCCCUUUGUACACACCGCCCGUCGCUACUACCGAUCGAACGGUCCGGUGAGGUCCUCGGAUCUGGCCGACGACGCCGCCGGGUUGUGGUUUCGGCCGCGCCUCGGCGUUCGAUGCCUGGAGAAGACGACCGAACCCGAUCGUUUAGAGGAAGUAAAAGUCGUAACAAGGUUUCC
This 2119-nucleotide ribosomal RNA is filed under the name Eucleoteuthis luminosa. Its description in RNAcentral is "SSU rRNA". It matches the Rfam family "Eukaryotic small subunit ribosomal RNA". Lineage: Eukaryota; Metazoa; Mollusca; Cephalopoda; Oegopsida; Ommastrephidae. The record is from RNAcentral.